Molecule: microRNA precursor, 58 nt
Filed under: Heligmosomoides polygyrus
Lineage: Eukaryota; Metazoa; Nematoda; Chromadorea; Rhabditida; Heligmosomidae
Description: microRNA hpo-mir-10042 precursor
Source: miRBase by way of RNAcentral
GAUUCUUCUGUGGUUGCCACGUGUGAAUGUUUGACGUGUACCCAUUGGAAGUUUUCGG